Molecule: ribosomal RNA, 238 nt
Filed under: uncultured bacterium
Lineage: Bacteria
Description: partial 16S ribosomal RNA
Rfam family: Bacterial small subunit ribosomal RNA
Source: RNAcentral
GAUCAUGGCUCAGGAUGAACGCUAACUACAGGCUUAACACAUGCAAGUCGAGGGGCAGCAUGUUGGUUGCUUGCGACCAACGAUGGCGACCGGCGCACGGGUGAGUAACGCGUAUCCAACCUUCCGCAUACUCGGGAAUAGCCUUUCGAAAGAAAGAUUAAUGCCCGAUGGUUUCCCGAAUCCGCAUGAGAACGGGAAUAAAGAUUCAUCGGUAUGCGAUGGGGAUGCGUCCCAUUAG